UGACAUUUAGGAAAAUUGGAUAAACUGU
RNAcentral lists this non-coding RNA (28 nucleotides) under Bombyx mori (domestic silkworm). Lineage: Eukaryota; Metazoa; Arthropoda; Insecta; Lepidoptera; Bombycidae. The record is from RNAcentral.